This 253-nucleotide ribosomal RNA is filed under the name uncultured bacterium. RNAcentral's name for it is "partial 16S ribosomal RNA". It matches the Rfam family "Bacterial small subunit ribosomal RNA", at positions 524 to 776 of the family's 1533-position model. The record is from RNAcentral.
UACAGAGGGGGCAAGCGUUGUUCGGAAUUACUGGGCGUAAAGGGCGCGUAGGCGGCCUGUUAAGUCAGACGUGAAAUCCCUCGGCUCAACCGGGGAACUGCGUCUGAUACUGGCGGGCUUGAAUUCGGGAGAGGGAUGUGGAAUUCCAGGUGUAGCGGUGAAAUGCGUAGAUAUCUGGAGGAACACCGGUGGCGAAGGCGGCAUCCUGGACCGGCAUUGACGCUGAGGCGCGAAAGCUAGGGGAGCAAACGGG